Culicoides brevitarsis is the source of this 72-nucleotide non-coding RNA. The record is from the annotation of a RefSeq genome assembly. NCBI's taxonomy places the organism in Eukaryota, Metazoa, Arthropoda, Insecta, Diptera, Ceratopogonidae.
GGAGGCUUAGCUCAGUGGCAGAGCAAUCGACUGCAGAUCGAUAGGUCACCAUUUCGACUAUGGUAGUCUCCU